This 756-nucleotide ribosomal RNA is filed under the name uncultured bacterium. Its description in RNAcentral is "bacterial SSU rRNA". It matches the Rfam family "Bacterial small subunit ribosomal RNA", at positions 8 to 796 of the family's 1533-position model. The record is from RNAcentral.
AGAGUUUGAUCAUGGCUCAGAAUCAACGCUGGCGGCGUGCCUAACACAUGCAAGUCGCACGAGAAAGGGGCUUCGGUCCUGAGUAAAGUGGCGCACGGGUGAGUAACACGUGACUAAUCUACCCUCGAGUGGGGAAUAACUGAGAGAAAUCUUAGCUAAUACCGCAUAACACUUACGAGUCAAAGCAGCAAUGCGCUUGGGGAGGAGGUCGCGGCCGAUUAGCUAGUUGGCGGGGUAAUGGCCCACCAAGGCGAUGAUCGGUAUCCGGCCUGAGAGGGCGCACGGACACACUGGAACUGAAACACGGUCCAGACUCCUACGGGAGGCAGCAGUGGGGAAUUUUGCGCAAUGGGGGAAACCCUGACGCAGCAACGCCGCGUGGAGGAUGAAAUAUCUUGGUAUGUAAACUCCUUUCGAUGGGGAAGAUUAUGACGGUACCCAUAGAAGAAGCCCCGGCUAACUUCGUGCCAGCAGCCGCGGUAAUACGAGGGGGGCAAGCGUUGUUCGGAUUUAUUGGGCGUAAAGGGUGCGUAGGCGGUUUGAUAAGUCUGAUGUGAAAUCUAUGGGCUCAACCCAUAGUCUGCAUUAGAAACUGUCGGGCUUGAGUAUGGGAGAGGUGAGUGGAAUUUCCGGUGUAGCGGUGAAAUGCGUAGAUAUCGGAAGGAACACCUGUGGCGAAAGCGGCCCACUGGACCAUAACUGACGCUGAUGCACGAAAGCUAGGGGAGCAAACAGGAUUAGAUACCCCCGUAGUCC